CCCUUAGACACUCUAGGCGGCACGCGCGCUACAAUGGGUGGAAGAACGUGUUACUGCCUCCGAAAGGAGGGGUGAGUCACGAAUUCUUGCCCGUGAAUGGGAUAGUUUGUUGCAAUUUUCGGACUUGAACUAGGAAUCCCUUGUAAACAUGCUCAAGAAUAGCGUGUUGAAUACGUCCCUGCCGUUUGUACACACCGCCCGUCGUUUCUUCCGACUGAUACUCAUUGUGAGUUGCAAGGACCCUUUAUUGGGAAAUUGCUGCAAAUGCUUUGUAUUGGAGGAAGAAAAAGUCGUAACA
RNAcentral lists this ribosomal RNA (298 nucleotides) under uncultured eukaryote. RNAcentral describes it as "partial 18S ribosomal RNA". It matches the Rfam family "Eukaryotic small subunit ribosomal RNA", at positions 1470 to 1796 of the family's 1831-position model. The record is from RNAcentral.